Molecule: unclassified non-coding RNA, 71 nt
Filed under: soil metagenome
Description: partial internal transcribed spacer 1
Source: RNAcentral
AUUGAUUUUUAGUUAUUUGUGAACGUACUACGAACAAACAAAAAAGUAUUAUAGUCAAAAAAAUUAAAUCA